UUAAAAGGCCGCAGUAUUUUGACUGUGCAAAGGUAGCAUAAUCAUUAGUUUUUUAAUUGAAAACUUGUAUGAAUGAUUGAAUGAGAUAUAUAUUGUUUCAUAAAAAUUAAAUUAAAAUUUUAUUAUUUAGUUAAAAAGCUAAAAUAGAAUUAAAAGACGAGAAGACCCUAUAAAGUUUAAUAUUAAAUUUUUAAUAAUUUAUAAAAAUUAAUUAAAAUUUUUAAAAUAAUAAUAUUUUAUUGGGGCGAUAAUAAAAUUUAAAAAACUUUUAUUAAUUAAAUCAUUGAUUUAUGAAUUUAUUGAUCCUUAUUUUAAGAUUAAAAAUUUAAAUUACUUUAGGGAUAACAGCAUAAUUUUUUUUAAAAGUUCUUAUUUAUAAAAAAGUUUGUGACCUCGAUGUUGGAUUAAAAUUAAUUUUAGGUGUAGAAGUUUAUAAAAUUAAGUCUGUUCGACUUUUAAAAUUUU
This 465-nucleotide ribosomal RNA is filed under the name Lyprauta cambria. RNAcentral's name for it is "partial 16S ribosomal RNA". The record is from RNAcentral. Lineage: Eukaryota; Metazoa; Arthropoda; Insecta; Diptera; Keroplatidae.